AAACGUAUGAAAUCCCUACCUUUUCUCCAACUUUUCACUCCACUUAUUUUUCUAUUGUAUCCACCCUAAACGGGGAGAAUUCUAUUCUUGCAAAUUAAACAAACUGGGAUUCGAACAGGGAAAUAAAAUAUAAAGCGAAUGUGCAUUGAAGAGAAAUUCGGCAAAUAUUUAUCGGAAUGAAAUACCAUUAUUUAACUUGGUGGGCAGAUCCUAAAACAUAAAAUUCAGAUAAUUAUCCAGCUUUCGAAGCUGACUUAUAUUUUUUACACAGAAACUACAAAUAUUAGCAUGCAACUCUCAAGGUACAUCUUCAGAUUGUGAACACCAUAGAAAUUCAUUCAGCCAACAUCCAACUUAACACUACAAAGAUAUACUAGUAUAAUAUCCUGUGGAUUAAAAAAAGUAAGGCAACUGGAAUUCUAACUGGAAAGUGAAUAGAAAACAAAUGUGCAUCAAGGAGCAACUCAGCAACUGUAUUAACUGAACGAAACACCAUUUGUUAAGUUGGUGGGUGAAUCUUAAUACAUUAUAAUAGAGCAAUGUACCAUUCAUUUUGCACCUCAAAAGAAUUUAUUUCUCCUGGUCCUGGGUUUCCUCUUCCUGCUGUUGUCCAUAACGACGCUUAAAUUUGGCAAUCUGUCCAAUACUUUGAGCCAUCUGCCGCUUAGCCCUGAAAUGAUAGACUUUACCAACUUGGUGUAUUUUGCUCAUCAUAAUGGGCAUCAAUCGACCACUCUGGGUCACAUAGGAUAUCCAUUGCAUCUGAGGAUGGAUUCCUUUCUUCAUCUUUCCUUCAAUAAACUCACAAUUGAAAAAUUACCUAGCAAUAAGCCCCAUUUUCAUUACCGGAGCACAAAUGAAGCUUGAACGGGAAAUUUUUUUAAAAAUUCCAGCAAUUAAGUAGCAGUGUCAAAGUUUGAACAAGAAAAUGCAUUGGGAAUCGUACGUGAAAGUUGAGUAAUUAAGCUGGUUAAUUUCAUGAAAAUAACAUCUCUGGAGCAUUUUAUCAAUCACGUUAANNUUACACAAAGCUAUAAACUCAGCCCCUUUUCCUGAAAAAGUUAAUGCCAUUACAUUACGUUUCUGUCCAUGAAUCAACCCUUGAGGAAUUUUAUUUUAAUUCAUGUAAAUGAAAAAUAUAAAUUAUAAGAGUUGAGUUCAAAUUAAAUCAUUCACAACAAACAAAUCCAGUGGAUUUCAACAUAUAAAGCCCGUUUUAACACAUACAAUCCGAUACUACCUUCCAAGUUUGGUGAUGAGGAAGUUGAGUAGAAAUCACUGCAACAUAAGAUAGAUUGGUGCCGUGAUGAAUAUGUUUCCAAUUUUAAGUAAUACCGAGAAAGAAAACCUAGGCUGGCCGCUCUUCCUCCUGUCAAACAGACAUGGGUUAUUCUUUGAUAGGCCCGCCUUUAAUUGGGUUUUACAAAUAUUUUUUUCUAGACUUGUCAUUUAAAAAUCAGAUUUCAACAUUAUUUUUUCAAAAAAUUCCAGUAUAUAUCAUACUCUACCUCACUUAAUAUCACCCCAUCUAUUCUUUUACCCAUUUCCCA
RNAcentral lists this long non-coding RNA (1550 nucleotides) under Olea europaea subsp. europaea. Lineage: Eukaryota; Viridiplantae; Streptophyta; Magnoliopsida; Lamiales; Oleaceae. The record is from RNAcentral.